Small nuclear RNA from Echinops telfairi (small Madagascar hedgehog), 164 nucleotides. RefSeq annotates it as U1 spliceosomal RNA. The transcript has a single exon. NCBI's taxonomy places the organism in Eukaryota, Metazoa, Chordata, Mammalia, Afrosoricida, Tenrecidae. The record is from RefSeq and is a predicted model, not a curated record.
AUUCUUCCCUGGUAGGGGAGAUCCCAUGAUCAUGAAAGUGGUUUUCCCAGGGCGAGGCUCACCCAUUACACUCCAGGCGUGCUGACCCCUGUGAUGUCCCCGAAUGUGGGAAUCUCGACUGCAUCAUUUGUGGUAGUAGGAGACUGCGUUCGCGCUCUCCCCUG